Molecule: ribosomal RNA, 460 nt
Filed under: uncultured bacterium
Lineage: Bacteria
Description: partial 16S ribosomal RNA
Rfam family: Bacterial small subunit ribosomal RNA
Source: RNAcentral
CCUACGGUAGGCAGCAGUGAGGAAUAUUGGUCAAUGGGCGGAAGCCUGAACCAGCCAAGUAGCGUGCAGGAUGACGGCCCUACGGGUUGUAAACUGCUUUUAUCCGGGAACAACGCGCCUUACGUGUAGGGGUUUGCAUGUACCGUAUGAAUAAGGAUCGGCUAAUUCCGUGCCAGCAGCCGCGGUAAUACGGAAGGUGCGGGCGUUAUCCGGAUUUAUUGGGUUUAAAGGGGGCGUAGGCCGAAUGUUAAGCGUGCUGUGAAAUGUCCGGGCUCAACCCGGGCCUUGCAUUGCAAACUGGCGUGCUUGAGUCCGCGAAAAGCAUGCGGAAUGCGACGUGUAGCGGUGAAAUGCUUAGAUAUGGCGAAGAACCCCGAUUGCGAAGGCAGCUUGCUGCAGCGGAACUGACGCUGAUGCUCGAAAGCGCGGGUAUCGAACAGGAUUAGAUACCCGGGUAGUC